This 253-nucleotide ribosomal RNA is filed under the name uncultured bacterium. RNAcentral describes it as "partial 16S ribosomal RNA". It matches the Rfam family "Bacterial small subunit ribosomal RNA", at positions 524 to 776 of the family's 1533-position model. The record is from RNAcentral.
UACGAGGGGGGCAAGCGUUGUUCGGAAUUAUUGGGCGUAAAGGGCGCGUAGGCGGUGCGGUAAGUCACCUGUGAAAACUCUGGGCUCAACUCAGAGCCUGCAGGCGAAACUGCCGUGCUUGAGUGUGGGAGAGGUGCGUGGAAUUCCCGGUGUAGCGGUGAAAUGCGCAGAUAUCAGGAGGAACACCCGUGGCGAAAGCGGCUCUCUGGGACGGUACUGACGCUGAGACGCGAAAGCGUGGGGAGCAAACAGG